CCCUUAGAUGGUCUGGGCCGCACGCGCGCUACACUGAUGAAUUCAACGAGCCUAGCCUUGUCCGAAAGGUCCGGGUAAUCUCUGAAACUUCAUCGUGAUGGGGAUAGAUCAUUGCAAUUAUUGAUCUUCAACGAGGAAUUCCUAGUAAGCGCAAGUCAUCAGCUUGCGUUGAUUACGUCCCUGCCCUUUGUACACACCGCCCGUCGCUUGUACCGAUUGGAUGGUCCGGUGAAAUCUUCGGAUAGCUGGUAGUUGGCUUGCCAUCUACUGCUAAAAGUUGCUUAAACCUUAUCAUCUAGAGGAACAAGAAGUCGUAACA
RNAcentral lists this ribosomal RNA (319 nucleotides) under uncultured eukaryote. RNAcentral describes it as "partial 18S ribosomal RNA". It matches the Rfam family "Eukaryotic small subunit ribosomal RNA", at positions 1470 to 1796 of the family's 1831-position model. The record is from RNAcentral.